UAAUACGAAGGGGGCUAGCGUUGUUCGGAAUCACUGGGCGUAAAGCGUAUGCAGGCGGAUCGUUAAGUCGGGGGUGAAAUCCCGAGGCUCAACCUCGGAACUGCCUUCGAUACUGACGAUCUUGAGUCCGGGAGAGGUGAGUGGAACUCCGAGUGUAGAGGUGAAAUUCGUAGAUAUUCGGAAGAACACCAGUGGCGAAGGCGGCUCACUGGCCCGGUACUGACGCUGAGAUACGAAAGCGUGGGGAGCAAACAGGAUUAGAUACCCUGGUAGUCCACGCCGUAAACGAUGGGUGCUAGCCGUCGGCAAGCUUGCUUGUCGGUGGCGCAGCUAACGCAUUAAGCACCCCGCCUGGGGAGUACGAUCGCAAGAUUA
RNAcentral lists this ribosomal RNA (375 nucleotides) under uncultured bacterium. RNAcentral describes it as "bacterial SSU rRNA". It matches the Rfam family "Bacterial small subunit ribosomal RNA", at positions 521 to 896 of the family's 1533-position model. The record is from RNAcentral.